CCUUCUCAGAGAUUACUUCCUUAAUGCUGCAUGAUUGCCUCACUUGCAGAUCAUCACCAAAGGUCAUGACCUCAUGCCUGAUUGGUUCACAUCAAGUGAUUGCUCAACACUGGGUAAAAAUAUCCUGCUUUCUCAGCUCAUCUCUGGACAUCUCUGAUGGAUCUCCCCAUCUUCAGCCCCUCUUGCAAAAAUGGCUAAGCCAUUCCAUUUAAAUGGCAUUGCAGCUUGACUCCUUCCUCUGAGGCAGCUUCUUUUCUCCUCAUCAGUCUAUUGGCCCCAGAGAAGUCUUUAAUACAUCUCCUGCUCUCAGCUUUCUGCCCCAGAGUCUAAUUCUGGAAGAAACCAACCUGUGACAAGUAUUUCUUCUUUCUGGAGUUGGAAGAAAGUUGUCAUUAGCAGGUACAAGACCCAGGAUGACUUCUGUAAAUGAGCCACAUCCUUUGCAUACUUCUCCAUUGUUCUCACCUACAGUACACAGCCCAUUUAACAUAGAAUGUUUCUAAUUCUUCAGAGCCAUAUUUGAUGUCAGUGAAAGUGAGUGUCAUAUAACCAG
Hyaena hyaena (striped hyena) is the source of this 553-nucleotide long non-coding RNA. RefSeq lists it as uncharacterized. The transcript is spliced from 3 exons. Lineage: Eukaryota; Metazoa; Chordata; Mammalia; Carnivora; Hyaenidae. The record is from RefSeq and is a predicted model, not a curated record.